CCUACGGGUGGCAGCAGUGAGGAAUAUUGGUCAAUGGGCGCGAGCCUGAACCAGCCAAGUAGCGUGAAGGAUGACUGCCCUACGGGUUGUAAACUUCUUUUAUAAAGGAAUAAAAUGAGGCACGUUUGCCUUUUUGUAUGUACUUUAUGAAUAAGGAUCGGGUAACUCCUUGCCAGCAGCCGCGGUAAUACGGAGGAACAGAGCGUUUUCCGGAUUUUUUGGGUUUAAAGGGAGUCUAGGUGGGUUUUUAAUUCAGUUGUGAAAGUUUGCGGCUCAAACGUAAAAUUGCAAUUGAUACUGGCAGUCUUGAGUACAGUUGAGGUAGGCGGAAUUCGUGGUGUAGCGGUGAAAUGCUUAGAUAUCACGAAGAACUCCGAUUGCGAAGGCAGCUUACUAAACUGCCACUGACAUUGAUGCUCGAAAGUGUGGGUAUCAAACAGGAUUAGAUACCCGUGUAGUC
Molecule: ribosomal RNA, 460 nt
Filed under: uncultured bacterium
Lineage: Bacteria
Description: partial 16S ribosomal RNA
Rfam family: Bacterial small subunit ribosomal RNA
Source: RNAcentral